Molecule: transfer RNA, 77 nt
Filed under: Candidatus Koribacter versatilis Ellin345
Lineage: Bacteria; Pseudomonadati; Acidobacteriota; Terriglobia; Terriglobales; Candidatus Korobacteraceae
Also listed under: 20 other names
Description: tRNA-Pro (TGG) (tRNA-Pro-TGG-1-1)
Rfam family: tRNA
About the family: Transfer RNA (tRNA) molecules are approximately 80 nucleotides in length. Their secondary structure includes four short double-helical elements and three loops (D, anti-codon, and T loops). Further hydrogen bonds mediate the characteristic L-shaped molecular structure. tRNAs have two regions of fundamental functional importance: the anti-codon, which is responsible for specific mRNA codon recognition, and the 3' end, to which the tRNAs corresponding amino acid is attached (by aminoacyl-tRNA synthetases). tRNAs cope with the degeneracy of the genetic code in two manners: having more than one tRNA (with a specific anti-codon) for a particular amino acid; and 'wobble' base-pairing, i.e. permitting non-standard base-pairing at the 3rd anti-codon position.
Source: RNAcentral
CGGGGCGUAGCGCAGCCUGGUAGCGCACCUGCCUUGGGCGCAGGGGGUCGGAGGUUCGAAUCCUCUCGCCCCGACCA